This 497-nucleotide ribosomal RNA is filed under the name uncultured bacterium. Its description in RNAcentral is "partial 16S ribosomal RNA". It matches the Rfam family "Bacterial small subunit ribosomal RNA", at positions 28 to 507 of the family's 1533-position model. The record is from RNAcentral.
GAUGAACGCUGGCGGCGUGCCUAAUACAUGCAAGUCGAGCGAACAGACGAGGAGCUUGCUCCUCUGACGUUAGCGGCGGACGGGUGAGUAACACGUGGAUAACCUACCUAUAAGACUGGGAUAACUUCGGGAAACCGGAGCUAAUACCGGAUAAUAUAUUGAACCGCAUGGGUCAAUAGUGAAAGUCGGUUUUUCUGGCACUUAUAGAUGGAUCCGCGCCGCAUUAGCUAGUUGGUAGGGUUACGGCUUACCAAGGCUACGAUGCGUAGGCGACCUGUGAGGGUGAUCGGCCACACUGGAACUGAGACACGGUCCAGACUCCUACGGGAGGCAGCAGUAGGGAAUCUUCCGCAAUGGGCGAAAGCCUGACGGAGCAACGCCGCGUGAGUGAUGAAGGUCUUCGGAUCGUAAAACUCUGUUAUUAGGGAAGAACAAAUGUGUAAGUAACUGUGCACGUCUUGACGGUACCUAAUCAGAAAGCAACGGCUAACUACGUG